AUGAGUAGCUGCUUCAACGGUGGCGCCGGCUGGCCGGAGCCCGUGGUGCGCGUGCAGGCCGUGUCGGACACCUGCGGCGAGACAAUACCUGAGCGGUACGUCAAGCUGCCGUUGGAUCGGCCGUCGGCGACGACCCUCCAACCGGCGGUCUCACAUGGGGGCGGCAGCCUAAACAUCCCGGUAGUGGACAUGUCAAUGCCGGACUCGGGCGAGACAGUCCGUGCCGUGGACGCGGCGUGCCGGGAGUGGGGGUUCUUCCAGGCGGUGAACCACGGCGUGAGCCCUGAGCUGCUGCGGCGGGCGCGCUCGUCGUGGCGCGGCUUCUUCAGGCAGCCAGCCGAGGUGCGCGAGCGGUACGCCAACUCGCCGGCGACGUACGAGGGCUACGGCAGCCGUCUCGGUACCACCAAGGGUGGGCACCUCGACUGGGGCGACUACUAUUUCUUGCACCUCCUCCCGCCGUCGAUCAAGAGCCACGACAAGUGGCCGUCCCUUCCGUCCACCCUACGGGACGCGACGGAGGAGUACGGCGAGGAGGUGGUGAAGCUGUGCCGGAGGGUAUCAAAGGUGCUGUCCAAGGGGCUGGGACUCGACGGCGGGAGGCUGCAGGCAGCGUUCGGCGGGGAGGGCGGCGAGGGGGCAUGCAUGAGGGUUAACUUCUACCCGAGGUGCCCGCAGCCGGAGCUGACGCUGGGCGUGGCGGCGCACUCCGACCCCGGCGGCAUGACCAUGCUGCUCGUCGACGACCACGUUCGGGGGCUGCAGGUGAGGAAAGAUGGCCAGUGGAUCACCGUCGACCCGGUCCCUGACGCCUUCAUCGUCAACGUCGGAGACCAGAUCCAGGUGCUGAGCAACGCGGCGUACAAGAGCGUGGAGCACCGGGUGACGGUGAGCGCAGCGGAGGAGCGGCUAUCGCUCGCCUUCUUCUACAACCCGCGGAGCGACGUGCCCGUGGCGCCCAUGGCGGAGCUGGUGGCGCCGGGACGCCCGGCGCUGUACCCGGAGAUGACCUUCGACGAGUACCGGGCCCACAUCCGGCAGCGCGGCCUCAGCGGCAAGGCGCAGCUACAGUCUCUGCAGAACGCCAACAACAGCGUCGCCUCCUGA
This 1107-nucleotide ribosomal RNA is filed under the name Triticum aestivum (bread wheat). RNAcentral's name for it is "partial small subunit ribosomal RNA". Lineage: Eukaryota; Viridiplantae; Streptophyta; Magnoliopsida; Poales; Poaceae. The record is from RNAcentral.